AGAAUGACUCUCGGCAACGGAUAUCUAGGCUCUUGCAUCGAUGAAGAACGUAGCGAAAUGCGAUACUUGGUGUGAAUUGCAGAAUUCCGUGAACCAUCGAGUCUUUGAACGCAAGUUGCGCCCGAUGCCAUUAGGUUGAGGGCACGUCUGCCUGGGUGUCACAU
This 164-nucleotide ribosomal RNA is filed under the name Lathyrus suevicus. RNAcentral describes it as "5.8S ribosomal RNA". It matches the Rfam family "5.8S ribosomal RNA". Rfam says of the family: 5.8S ribosomal RNA (5.8S rRNA) is a component of the large subunit of the eukaryotic ribosome. It is transcribed by RNA polymerase I as part of the 45S precursor that also contains 18S and 28S rRNA. Lineage: Eukaryota; Viridiplantae; Streptophyta; Magnoliopsida; Fabales; Fabaceae. The record is from RNAcentral.